UUCACAUGUUGCUCUGUGUCUUAAUUUGAUC
Molecule: non-coding RNA, 31 nt
Filed under: Mus musculus (house mouse)
Lineage: Eukaryota; Metazoa; Chordata; Mammalia; Rodentia; Muridae
Source: RNAcentral